Molecule: ribosomal RNA, 548 nt
Filed under: uncultured Glomeromycotina
Lineage: Eukaryota; Fungi; Glomeromycota
Description: SSU rRNA
Rfam family: Eukaryotic small subunit ribosomal RNA
Source: RNAcentral
UUGGAGGGCAAGUCUGGUGCCAGCAGCCGCGGUAAUUCCAGCUCCAAUAGCGUAUAUUAAAGUUGUUGCAGUUAAAAAGCUCGUAGUUGAAUUUCGGGGUCAGUAGGCUGGUCGUGCCACAGGUAUGUACUGGUCUCACUGAUUCCUCCUUCCUGAUGAACCGUAAUGCCAUUAAUUUGGUGUUGCGGGGAAUCUGGACUGUUACUUUGAAAAAAUUAGAGUGUUUAAAGCAGGCUAACGCUUGAAUACAUUAGCAUGGAAUAAUGAAAUGGGACGAUCGAUCCUAUUUUGUUGGUUUCUAGGAUUGACGUAAUGAUUAAUAGGGAUAGUUGGGGGCAUUAGUAUUCAAUUGUCAGAGGUGAAAUUCUUGGGUUUAUUGAAGACUAACUACUGCGAAAGCAUUUGCCAAGGAUGUUUUCAUUAAUCAAGAACGAAAGUUAGGGGAUCGAAGACGAUCAGAUACCGUCGUAGUCUUAACCAUAAACUAUGCCGACUAGGGAUCGGAUGAUGUUAAUUUUUUAAUGACUCAUUCGGCGCCUUACGGGAAA